This 111-nucleotide ribosomal RNA is filed under the name [Bacillus] enclensis. RNAcentral describes it as "Bacillus enclensis partial 23S ribosomal RNA". It matches the Rfam family "Bacterial large subunit ribosomal RNA", at positions 2815 to 2925 of the family's 2925-position model. The record is from RNAcentral. Lineage: Bacteria; Bacillati; Bacillota; Bacilli; Caryophanales; Bacillaceae.
CACUUUAUGUGAGUAAGAUCCCUGGAAGAUGACCAGGUAGAUAGGUCAGAGGUGGAAGCAUGGCGACAUGUGGAGCUGACUGAUACUAAUCGAUCGAGGACUUAACCACAA